CCUAAUCCAAAAUUUUCACGCUCUCCCUCGCAAACUCUCUGCCCAAAACUUCAUCUCCCUCUCAAACUCUCGCCCCAAUUACUUCCAGCUCCCUCUCAAUUUUUCACUCCCUCUCAAACUGUCACCUUAAAACUUCAUCUCCUGAAAGUCUCUCUUUCUUCUCCCUCCUCCAUCACUGCCCCAUUCUUGCUAAAACUAUCAGAUGCUCAACCAUUACGAUUCACAGUGAGAAUCAUUCUUCCAUUUCAACGAUUCUCAAGCCAGCUCACACAAUUUCUCAAGCCCAGACUCUUAGACGGAAGUUUAAGUUGACGAUUGUGUGGUUUUGUCUAUCAGUGAAGCAUUUCCCUUUCCCCCAAAAGUUAGGGUUUUGAUCACACCCCACACCUCCUCUUCUGAACUAGUACUUCUGCCGUCUUUAAUCUUCAACGGAAAACAUGGAGCAAACUUUCAUCAUGAUCAAGCCUGAUGGGGUUCAAAGGGGCCUGGUUGGUGACAUCAUUAGCAGGUUUGAGAAGAAGGACUUCUAUUUGAAAGGU
Prunus mume (Japanese apricot) is the source of this 539-nucleotide non-coding RNA. Lineage: Eukaryota; Viridiplantae; Streptophyta; Magnoliopsida; Rosales; Rosaceae. The record is from RefSeq and is a predicted model, not a curated record.